This 383-nucleotide ribosomal RNA is filed under the name marine copepod environmental sample. Its description in RNAcentral is "partial small subunit ribosomal RNA". It matches the Rfam family "Eukaryotic small subunit ribosomal RNA", at positions 587 to 972 of the family's 1831-position model. The record is from RNAcentral. Lineage: Eukaryota; Metazoa; Arthropoda; Copepoda.
AGCUCCAAUAGCGUAUAUUAAAGUUGUUGCGGUUAAAAAGCUCGUAGUUGGAUCUCGGCGGGUAGGGGGCGGGUCGUUUCUGACGGCACUGCCCCAUUUACCUGUGGGUUUGACGGAGGUUUCACGGUGGCCUUAACUAGCUGUCGUGGUACGCCGUCAGGUUUACUUUGAAAAAAUUAGAGUGCUCAAAGCAGGCUACAAGCUUGAAUACUUGUGCAUGGAAUAAUGGAAUAGGAAGUCGUUUCUAUUUUUUUUGGUUUUCGGAAAUUGACUUAAUGAUUAAUAGGGACAGCCGGGGGCAUUAGUAUUCAGACGACAGAGGUGAAAUUCUUGGACCGUUUGAAGACUAACUACUGCGAAAGCAUUUGCCAAGAGUGUUUUCA